RNAcentral lists this ribosomal RNA (253 nucleotides) under uncultured bacterium. RNAcentral describes it as "partial 16S ribosomal RNA". It matches the Rfam family "Bacterial small subunit ribosomal RNA", at positions 524 to 776 of the family's 1533-position model. The record is from RNAcentral.
UACGUAGGGUGCGAGCGUUGUCCGGAAUUACUGGGCGUAAAGAGCUCGUAGGUGGUUUGUCGCGUUGUUCGUGAAAUCUCACGGCUUAACUGUGAGCGUGCGGGCGAUACGGGCAGACUAGAGUACUGCAGGGGAGACUGGAAUUCCUGGUGUAGCGGUGGAAUGCGCAGAUAUCAGGAGGAACACCGGUGGCGAAGGCGGGUCCCUGGGCAGUAACUGACGCUCAGGCACGAAAGCGUGGGGAGCAAACAGG